RNAcentral lists this ribosomal RNA (468 nucleotides) under uncultured bacterium. Its description in RNAcentral is "partial 16S ribosomal RNA". It matches the Rfam family "Bacterial small subunit ribosomal RNA", at positions 28 to 507 of the family's 1533-position model. The record is from RNAcentral.
GACGAACGCUGGCGGCGUGCUUAACACAUGCAAGUCGAACGGAAAGGCCCUGCUUUUGUGGGGUGCUCGAGUGGCGAACGGGUGAGUAACACGUGAGUAACCUGCCCUUGACUUUGGGAUAACGUCAGGAAACUGGGGCUAAUACCGGAUAGGAGCUCCUGCUGCAUGGUGGGGGUUGGAAAGUUUCGGCGGUUGGGGAUGGACUCGCGGCUUAUCAGCUUGUUGGUGGGGUAGUGGCUUACCAAGGCUUUGACGGGUAGCCGGCCUGAGAGGGUGACCGGCCACAUUGGGACUGAGAUACGGCCCAGACUCCUACGGGAGGCAGCAGUGGGGAAUAUUGCACAAUGGGCGGAAGCCUGAUGCAGCAACGCCGCGUGCGGGAUGACGGCCUUCGGGUUGUAAACCGCUUUCGCCUGUGACGAAGCGUGAGUGACGGUAACGGGUAAAGAAGCACCGGCUAACUACGUG